CAUGCCUUGAGUGUAGGACCGUU
RNAcentral lists this non-coding RNA (23 nucleotides) under Mus musculus (house mouse). RNAcentral also lists the same sequence under 1 other name. Lineage: Eukaryota; Metazoa; Chordata; Mammalia; Rodentia; Muridae. The record is from RNAcentral.